AUACGUAGGUGGCAAGCGUUGUCCGGAAUUAUUGGGCGUAAAGCGCAUGUAGGCGGUGCCUUAAGUCUGUCGUGAAACUGCGGGGCCUAACCCCGAAUGGCGAUGGAAACUGUGGCACUUGAGUGCAGGAGAGGAAAGGGGAACUCCCAGUGUAGCGGGGAAAUGCGUAGAUAUUGGGAAGAACACCGGUGGCGAAGGCGCCUUUCUGGACUGUGUCUGACGCUGAGAUGCGAAAGCCAGGGUAGCGAACGGGAUUAGAUACCCCGGUAGUCCUGGCCGUAAACGAUGGGUACUAGGUGUGGGAGGUAUCGACCCCUUCCGUGCCGGAGUUAACGCAAUAAGUACCCCGCCUGGGGAGUACGGCCGCAAGGCUUAAGCUCAAAGGAAUUGGCGGGG
This 396-nucleotide ribosomal RNA is filed under the name uncultured bacterium. Its description in RNAcentral is "partial 16S ribosomal RNA". It matches the Rfam family "Bacterial small subunit ribosomal RNA", at positions 523 to 918 of the family's 1533-position model. The record is from RNAcentral.